This is a long non-coding RNA of Rhopalosiphum padi (bird cherry-oat aphid), 685 nucleotides long. RefSeq lists it as uncharacterized. The transcript has 4 exons. NCBI's taxonomy places the organism in Eukaryota, Metazoa, Arthropoda, Insecta, Hemiptera, Aphididae. The record is from RefSeq and is a predicted model, not a curated record.
CUGUUAGAUUUUAAACUUUCCGAAAUUAAAUAAUAGUAAUAAUAAUUAUCUUAUUUAGCUUAACGGUACAAGUAAAACGCAUAUAUUAUAAUGAAGCGCACGGAGAGAGAAAGUGAAAGCAGUUUACCUUGGUAACAUACGGCGACCUCCUAGCAAAAAAAAAAAAAAAACAUAAUAAUACAUUAAUACGUAUAGUGGUUUCUGACUACGGUUAAAUACCACCAUAUGUAUAUAAUAUCAAACGAUAGGAUGUCCACUUUCGUAUGGACAUAGUGGUAUAAUCAUAUUUCACACGAAUUAUAAAACAUUAUGCUUUAUUAACAGUUUAUUCGAUGUAUGUCUGCACGCACGAUUUCUAAAAAAGCAUUGAACCACAUGCAAUCGAUUUCUAUCGUACUCUUACUCUACACGUUAUACAGAGCGCGCAGCGAAAAAAUUAGCAAUUAUGAAAAUAGAAGAUACUACAAAAUAUUCUGCACAUUAUGAAUCACGGAUGAUGGUCUCAUAACAAUAAGCAAAUUGGACACAGAUGUUUUUUGUGAUUCAUCUAUAGUAGUAUUUUCUACGUUCUAUCCAUAUGUGGUACAUUUGUAUGGGACAACUAUUUAGGAAAUCGAUUUUCAGCAUACACAAUGUAGGUUUUCGAAAUUAAGAAAUUAAAUAUUAGCCUAAAAUAUCCAAGUAU